Molecule: transfer RNA, 86 nt
Filed under: Chryseobacterium indologenes
Lineage: Bacteria; Pseudomonadati; Bacteroidota; Flavobacteriia; Flavobacteriales; Weeksellaceae
Description: tRNA-Ser
Rfam family: tRNA
About the family: Transfer RNA (tRNA) molecules are approximately 80 nucleotides in length.
Source: RNAcentral
GGAGGGUUGCCAGAGUGGUUAAUGGAGCAGUUUGCUAAACUGUCGACGCUGAAAGUGUCGCAAGGGUUCGAAUCCCUUACCCUCCG